CCAUCUUCUUAUUCUCGUUAUGCGAAGAUUCAAAUACAAUGUUAGCUUAAAUUCUUCUAAAGAAGUUUAAGUCUUCGAUGGUUUAUAUAGAACUUCAAGCUUUGGUGUAUGAGACCUUAUCCAUGAGAAAAGGACCGAGGACUCCUAGGCCUAUGGUGCCUAUGCCUUGGCCGCCGGCCCCAAAUUAUUUAUAUAUACAUGAGAAAAGAGCAAGUAUCAACUUCAAUUAACGGGGAAAUUGAAAGGUAGAUUG
Long non-coding RNA from Impatiens glandulifera, 253 nucleotides. RefSeq lists it as uncharacterized. The transcript has 3 exons. The record is from RefSeq and is a predicted model, not a curated record. NCBI's taxonomy places the organism in Eukaryota, Viridiplantae, Streptophyta, Magnoliopsida, Ericales, Balsaminaceae.